GUGCUUGCUUUGGCAGCACAUAUACCAAAAUUGGAACAAUAUGGAGAAGAUUCGCAUGGCCCCUUUGUAAGGAUGACACGCAAAUUCAUGAAGGAUCCCAUAGUUUA
Molecule: small nuclear RNA, 107 nt
Organism: Chlorocebus sabaeus (green monkey)
Lineage: Eukaryota; Metazoa; Chordata; Mammalia; Primates; Cercopithecidae
Source: Ensembl